This is a small nucleolar RNA of Otolemur garnettii (small-eared galago), 132 nucleotides long. The record is from Ensembl. NCBI's taxonomy places the organism in Eukaryota, Metazoa, Chordata, Mammalia, Primates, Galagidae.
ACCCUCCCAGCUCUGCAUGGUCACACCUGGCUUUACUCUUACCACUUUCCUAAUGUGGAGAGGGGGGAUAGGUCUCCUCAGGACCUGGGUUGGCCUUCCAGCGGCCUCUCUUUCCCUGAGGGUCCAGCAGAG